Non-coding RNA from Marmota flaviventris (yellow-bellied marmot), 611 nucleotides. Lineage: Eukaryota; Metazoa; Chordata; Mammalia; Rodentia; Sciuridae. The record is from RefSeq and is a predicted model, not a curated record.
ACAAAAAAAAGUUUAUAUAAUUAUGGUGUUAUUAAUGUGUUCAUAUCUUCCAGGUAUACAAGCCUGUAAGGUAAAAGCUUCGAAAGAACAUUAUAUCAAGCUGGUAUUCUAAAGUUAUAUGACUCAUUUGCAUGCUUUGCAAUUGGUCCAGAACGAGGUCUGGAAGCCUCUAGCCACAGCAUACAAAGAGGAACUUAAAACCCCCUUGCUGCCACAUCCCUUCAAAGUUGGAGACACCGUCUGGGUACACAGGCACCAGAGCAAGAACCUCGAAUCGCGGUGGAAAGGACCCUACACCAUUCUGCUGACCACUCCCACUGCAGUCAAAGUGGACGGCAUCACCGCUUGGAUCCACGCCUCCCACGUGAAAGCUGCACAUCCACAGGAGUCCGCAGGCACCUCUCCGGAUCCAGAAUGAAAGUUGCAACGCACUCAAAAUCCACUAAAGAUAAGACUCACACGCUGUUGAUUUUCCUUGCUUUGUGCUUUGUAUUUCCCCUAACGGUUGCUAACCAAACUGUGAGCCAGACAUGGCAAAUAUUAUCGGGGACAGGAGAUAUAAUUUAAAACCAAACAUCCACAAAAUACCCCCUUUGGGCUUGGUAACCUGC